Molecule: ribosomal RNA, 634 nt
Filed under: uncultured organism
Description: bacterial SSU rRNA
Rfam family: Bacterial small subunit ribosomal RNA
Source: RNAcentral
GCGGCGUGCCUAACACAUGCAAGUCGAACGCGAAAGCUCCUUCGGGAGUGAGUAGAGUGGCGCACGGGUGAGUAACGCGUGGGUAAUCUACCUCAAGAUUUGGGAUAACUUCGCGAAAGUGAAGCUAAUACCGAAUAGUCUGGCUAUCGAAAGGUUGUCGGUAAAGGGUGCCUCUUCUUGAAAGCAUCUGUCUUGAGAUGAGCCCGCGUAUCAUUAGCUAGUUGGUAGGGUAAUGGCCUACCAAGGCAACGAUGAUUAGCUGGUCUGAGAGGAUGAUCAGCCACACUGGGACUGGAACACGGCCCAGACUCCUACGGGAGGCAGCAGUGGGGAAUAUUGCGCAAUGGGCGAAAGCCUGACGCAGCAACGCCGUGUGGGGGAUGAAGGCUUUCGGGUCGUAAACCCCUGUCAGAAGGGAAGAAAUGGUAAGGGUCCAAUAGGCCUAUAUUUUGACGGUACCUUCAGAGGAAGCACCGGCUAACUCCGUGCCAGAAACCGCGGUAAUACGGAGGGUGCAAGCGUUAUUCGGAAUCACUGGGCGUAAAGCGCGCGUAGGCGGCCCUGUAAGUCAGAUGUGAAAUCCCAAGGAUCAACCGUGAAACUGCAUAUGACAAUGCAAGGAUUGAAUCCUGGA